This 429-nucleotide ribosomal RNA is filed under the name Chloroflexota bacterium. RNAcentral describes it as "Chloroflexi bacterium partial 16S ribosomal RNA". It matches the Rfam family "Bacterial small subunit ribosomal RNA", at positions 355 to 776 of the family's 1533-position model. The record is from RNAcentral. Lineage: Bacteria; Bacillati; Chloroflexota.
UGGGGAAUAUUGCACAAUGGGCGCAAGCCUGAUGCAGCCAUGCCGCGUGUGUGAAGAAGGCCUUCGGGUUGUAAAGCACUUUCAGCGGGGAGGAAGGCGAUAAGGUUAAUAACCUUGUCGAUUGACGUUACCCGCAGAAGAAGCACCGGCUAACUCCGUGCCAGCAGCCGCGGUAAUACGGAGGGUGCAAGCGUUAAUCGGAAUUACUGGGCGUAAAGCGCACGCAGGCGGUUUGUUAAGUCAGAUGUGAAAUCCCCGGGCUCAACCUGGGAACUGAAUCUGAUACUGGCAAGCUUGAGUCUCGUAGAGGGGGGUAGAAUUCCAGGUGUAGCGGUGAAAUGCGUAGAGAUCUGGAGGAAUACCGGUGGCGAAGGCGGCCCCCUGGACGAAGACUGACGCUCAGGUGCGAAAGCGUGGGGAGCAAACAGG